GAUGAACGCUGGCGGCGUGCCUAAUACAUGCAAGUCGAGCGAACAGACGAGGAGCUUGCUCCUCUGACGUUAGCGGCGGACGGGUGAGUAACACGUGGAUAACCUACCUAUAAGACUGGGAUAACUUCGGGAAACCGGAGCUAAUACCGGAUAAUAUAUUGAACCGCAUGGUUCAAUAGUGAAAGACGGUUUUGCUGUCACUUAUAGAUGGAUCCGCGCCGCAUUAGCUAGUUGGUAAGGUAACGGCUUACCAAGGCAACGAUGCGUAGCCGACCUGAGAGGGUGAACGGCCAAACUGGAAACGAGAAAAGGGCCAAGAUCCUUAGGGAAGGAGGAGUAGGGAAAUCUUCGCAAAGGGCGAAAGCCUGACGGAGCAACGCCGCGUGAGUGAUGAAGGUCUUCGGAUCGUAAAACUCUGUUAUUAGGGAAGAACAAAUGUGUAAGUAACUAUGCACGUCUUGACGGUACCUAAUCAGAAAGCCACGGCUAACUACGUG
RNAcentral lists this ribosomal RNA (497 nucleotides) under uncultured bacterium. RNAcentral describes it as "partial 16S ribosomal RNA". It matches the Rfam family "Bacterial small subunit ribosomal RNA", at positions 28 to 507 of the family's 1533-position model. The record is from RNAcentral.